CUUCAGUCAGUUGCAGGCAGCCCACGGAUCAGGUGAUGUUCAGAAAAGAUGAAGAAACUGGCCCAGAGAGGUGAAACAACCCAGCCGAUGUCAUGUCGUAGCUAAGAUGACAGCUGUUGGCCUGUACCUCGGCCCUCAAGUUUCCCAUGCAAUGUGCUUCCUACUAUUCAUUGUUGCCCCGUCUCUAGGUAAGUCUUCUGUAAUUUACAUGCUUGUUGAAAGGAUCUGUUUCUGUUUUUUCCUCCUCCCAGUUUGUUGAAGCCCAUGGUUAACUGAGAAAUGCAAGUGGUGCCUAGGUUUUUCAGGGUUAUGCCUGUCACAUCCACACUGCCGCAGUGAACAAAGCCUAGAAGCCUGCGGCAAGGGAAGCGCCUCCAUUCAAUGGUGGCUGGCUGCAUCCCCAUGAGGUCCGAGGCCUGAUGGUCAGCCCAAGGGACUUUUCAUCUUGGUUCUCAAAGCUUGGUAAGAGUGAGGAUAUUUCCAUUAGAAAAUUGCCGACACUAAGGCUCAUCCAGUAACUGGUUGGCAAAGGUACACACUGCUCUGGUCAGACAAACAUAGGCACUACAGAAAAUGGUGCUGGGCCUUGAGGAAUGGGAGAGGAAAGGGAGAAGACAGCUCAGGGAACUGGGCAUGGAUCUGGGCAGAUGUUGCGGGGAUGGUUGCUGAUAUUGGAUUUGGAGGAGAAAUUGAAAGGUCACGGCUUCUAGAGCAUCUAGCUCUCUUGGGCUUAAGAUCAAAUUGUGCUAGUGAAGACAGUGCAUCUCAUAAAAUGGGAAGUAGG
RNAcentral lists this long non-coding RNA (784 nucleotides) under Homo sapiens (human). Its description in RNAcentral is "HSALNT0296676". Lineage: Eukaryota; Metazoa; Chordata; Mammalia; Primates; Hominidae. The record is from RNAcentral.